Molecule: transfer RNA, 60 nt
Filed under: Ornithodoros kalahariensis
Lineage: Eukaryota; Metazoa; Arthropoda; Arachnida; Ixodida; Argasidae
Description: Ornithodoros sp. 1 BJM-2014 tRNA-Arg
Source: RNAcentral
UGAGAAUGAAGCAAUUUUGCAUUCAGUUUCGACCUGAACUUAUGGUAAUCCCAUUCUUAU